GACGAACGCUGGCGGCGUGCUUAACACAUGCAAGUCGAACGGAAAGGCCCUGCUUUUGUGGGGUGCUCGAGUGGCGAACGGGUGAGUAACACGUGAGUAACCUGCCCUUGACUUUGGGAUAACUUCAGGAAACUGGGGCUCAUACCGGAUAGGAGCUCCUGCUGCAUGGUGGGGGUUGGAAAGUUUCGGCGGUUGGGGAUGGACUCGCGGCUUAUCAGCUUGUUUGUGGGGUAGUGGCUUACCAAGGCUUUGACGGAUAGCCGGCCUGAGAGGGUGACCGGCGACAUUGGGACUGAGAUACGGACCAGACUCGUACGGGAGGCAGCAGUGGGGAAUAUUGCACAGUGGGCGGAAGCCUGAUGCAGCAACGCCGCGUGCGGGAUGACGGCCUUCGGGUUGUAAACCGCUUUCGCCUGUGACGAAGAGUGAGUGACGGUAAUGGGUAAAGAAGCAACGGCUAACUACGUG
RNAcentral lists this ribosomal RNA (468 nucleotides) under uncultured bacterium. RNAcentral's name for it is "partial 16S ribosomal RNA". It matches the Rfam family "Bacterial small subunit ribosomal RNA", at positions 28 to 507 of the family's 1533-position model. The record is from RNAcentral.